UACGUAGGGUGCAAGCGUUGUCCGGAAUUAUUGGGCGUAAAGAGCUCGUAGGCGGUUUGUUGCGUCGGCUGUGAAAUCCCGAGGCCCAACCUCGGGUCUGCAGUCGAUACGAGCAAACUAGAGUGUUGCAGGGGAGACUGGAAUUCCUGGUGUAGGUGAAAUGCGCAGAUAUCAGGAGGAACACCGGUGGCGAAGGCGGGUCUCUGGGCAACAACUGACGCUGAGGAGCGAAAGCGUGGGGAGCGAACAGG
RNAcentral lists this ribosomal RNA (251 nucleotides) under uncultured bacterium. RNAcentral describes it as "partial 16S ribosomal RNA". It matches the Rfam family "Bacterial small subunit ribosomal RNA", at positions 524 to 776 of the family's 1533-position model. The record is from RNAcentral.